GAUGAACGCUAGCGAUAGGCUUAACACAUGCAAGUCGAGCGAGAAUUCACCUUCGGGUGGAGGAAAGUGGCGGACGGGUGAGUAAUGUGUAGAGAAUCUACCCUAGAGAGGGGGACAACAGCUGGAAACGGUUGCUAAUACCCCAUAUGAGGUAACUUAGAAAUAGUUAUCUUGAAAACUCCGGUGCUCUGGGAUGAGUCUGCAUCUGAUUAGCUAGUUGGGGGUGGUAAUGGACCACCAAGGCGACGAUCAGUAGCUGGUUUGAGAGGAUGAUCAGCCACAAUGGGACUGAGACACGGCCCAU
Molecule: ribosomal RNA, 304 nt
Filed under: uncultured bacterium
Lineage: Bacteria
Description: bacterial SSU rRNA
Rfam family: Bacterial small subunit ribosomal RNA
Source: RNAcentral